RNAcentral lists this ribosomal RNA (239 nucleotides) under uncultured bacterium. Its description in RNAcentral is "partial 16S ribosomal RNA". It matches the Rfam family "Bacterial small subunit ribosomal RNA", at positions 118 to 351 of the family's 1533-position model. The record is from RNAcentral.
UGGGUAAUCUACCCUCGGUUCUGGGAUAGCCCGGGGAAACCCGGAUUAAUACCGGAUAGCCUCUUGAGCCUUCGGGUUCUUGAGAAAAGGUAGCUUCGGCCUCCGACUGAGGAUGAGCCCGCGGCGGAUUAGCUUGUUGGCGGGGUAACAGCCCACCAAGGCUUCGAUCCGUAGCUGGUCUGAGAGGACGAUCAGCCACACUGGGACUGAGACACGGCCCAGACUCCUACGGGAGGCAG